This 450-nucleotide ribosomal RNA is filed under the name uncultured bacterium. RNAcentral's name for it is "partial 16S ribosomal RNA". It matches the Rfam family "Bacterial small subunit ribosomal RNA", at positions 354 to 796 of the family's 1533-position model. The record is from RNAcentral.
GUGGGGAAUUUUGGACAAUGGGCGCAAGCCUGAUCCAGCAAUGCCGCGUGCAGGAAGAAGGCCUUCGGGUUGUAAACUGCUUUUGUACGGAACGAAACGGUCCUGGUUAAUACCUGGGGCUAAUGACGGUACCGUAAGAAUAAGCACCGGCUAACUACGUGCCAGCAGCCGCGGUAAUACGUAGGGUGCGAGCGUUAAUCGGAAUUACUGGGCGUAAAGCGUGCGCAGGCGGUUUUGUAAGAUCGAUGUGAAAUCCCCGGGCUCAACCUGGGAACUGCAUUGGUGACUGCAAGGCUGGAGUGCGGCAGAGGGGGAUGGAAUUCCGCGUGUAGCAGUGAAAUGCGUAGAUAUGCGGAGGAACACCGAUGGCGAAGGCAAUCCCCUGGGCCUGCACUGACGCUCAUGCACGAAAGCGUGGGGAGCAAACAGGAUUAGAUACCCUAGUAGUCC